GAUGAACGCUGGCGGCGUGCUUAACACAUGCAAGUCGAACGAAGCAUUUAAGACAGAUUACUUCGGUUUGAAGUCUUUUAUGACUGAGUGGCGGACGGGUGAGUAACGCGUGGGUAACCUGCCUCAUACAGGGGGAUAGCAGCUGGAAACGGCUGGUAAUACCGCAUAAGCGCACAGUACCACAUGGUACAGUGUGAAAAACUCCGGUGGUAUGAGAUGGACCCGCGUCUGAUUAGCUUGUUGGCGGGGUAACGGCCCACCAAGGCGACGAUCAGUAGCCGACCUGAGAGGGUGACCGGCCACAUUGGGACUGAGACACGGCCCAGACUCCUACGGGAGGCAGCAGUGGGGAAUAUUGCACAAUGGAGGAAACUCUGAUGCAGCGACGCCGCGUGAGUGAAGAAGUAGUUCGCUAUGUAAAGCUCUAUCAGCAGGGAAGAUAGUGGCGGUACCUGACUAAGAAGCUCCGGCUAAAUACGUG
Molecule: ribosomal RNA, 481 nt
Filed under: uncultured bacterium
Lineage: Bacteria
Description: partial 16S ribosomal RNA
Rfam family: Bacterial small subunit ribosomal RNA
Source: RNAcentral